RNAcentral lists this transfer RNA (77 nucleotides) under Alteromonas macleodii. RNAcentral describes it as "tRNA-Ile". It matches the Rfam family "tRNA". Rfam says of the family: Transfer RNA (tRNA) molecules are approximately 80 nucleotides in length. Their secondary structure includes four short double-helical elements and three loops (D, anti-codon, and T loops). Further hydrogen bonds mediate the characteristic L-shaped molecular structure. tRNAs have two regions of fundamental functional importance: the anti-codon, which is responsible for specific mRNA codon recognition, and the 3' end, to which the tRNAs corresponding amino acid is attached (by aminoacyl-tRNA synthetases). tRNAs cope with the degeneracy of the genetic code in two manners: having more than one tRNA (with a specific anti-codon) for a particular amino acid; and 'wobble' base-pairing, i.e. permitting non-standard base-pairing at the 3rd anti-codon position. The record is from RNAcentral. RNAcentral also lists the same sequence under 3 other names. Lineage: Bacteria; Pseudomonadati; Pseudomonadota; Gammaproteobacteria; Alteromonadales; Alteromonadaceae.
GGGCUCGUAGCUCAGGUGGUUAGAGCGCACCCCUGAUAAGGGUGAGGUCGCUAGUUCGAGUCUAGCCGGGCCCACCA